UCCGGAAUUAUUGGGCGUAAAGGGCUCGCAGGCGGUUUCUUAAGUCUGAUGUGAAAGCCCCCGGCUCAACCGGGGAGGGUCAUUGGAAACUGGGGAACUUGAGUGCAGAAGAGGAGAGUGGAAUUCCACGUGUAGCGGUGAAAUGCGUAGAGAUGUGGAGGAACACCAGUGGCGAAGGCGACUCUCUGGUCUGUAACUGACGCUGAGGAGCGAAAGCGUGGGGAGCGAACAGGAUUAGAUACCCUGGUAGUCCACGCCGUAAACGAUGAGUGCUAAGUGUUAGGGGGUUUCCGCCCCUUAGUGCUGCAGCUAACGCAUUAAGCACUCCGCCUGGGGAGUACGGUCGCAAGACUGAAACUCAAAGGAAUUGACGGGGGCCCGCACAAGCGGUGGAGCAUGUGGUUUAAUUCGAAGCAACGCGAAGAACCUUACCAGGUCUUGACAUCCUCUGACAAUCCUAGAGAUAGGACGUCCCCUUCGGGGGCAGAGUGACAGGUGGUGCAUGGUUGUCGUCAGCUCGUGUCGUGAGAUGUUGGGUUAAGUCCCGCAACGAGCGCAACCCUUGAUCUUAGUUGCCAGCAUUCAGUUGGGCACUCUAAGGUGACUGCCGGUGACAAACCGGAGGAAGGUGGGGAUGACGUCAAAUCAUCAUGCCCCUUAUGACCUGGGCUACACACGUGCUACAAUGGACAGAACAAAGGGCAGCGAAACCGCGAGGUUAAGCCAAUCCCACAAAUCUGUUCUCAGUUCGGAUCGCAGUCUGCAACUCGACUGCGUGAAGCUGGAAUCGCUAGUAAUCGCGGAUCAGCAUGCCGCGGUUGAAUACGUUCCC
This 832-nucleotide ribosomal RNA is filed under the name Bacillus sp. Y5-7. RNAcentral's name for it is "bacterial SSU rRNA". It matches the Rfam family "Bacterial small subunit ribosomal RNA", at positions 544 to 1375 of the family's 1533-position model. The record is from RNAcentral. Lineage: Bacteria; Bacillati; Bacillota; Bacilli; Caryophanales; Bacillaceae.